GGUAAAUCUCGUGCCAGCCACCGCGGUCACACAAGAGACCCAAGCUAAUCGUUUGCGGCGUAAAGAGUGGACUCAUGCUUAUCACACUAAUUAAGGUCAAAACGCAACUGAGCUGUCAUAAGCCUAAGAUGCAUUUAAAACCGCCCUAAAGACGACCCUAAAUUCACAAGACUUAAUGAACUCCACGAAAGCCAGGGCACAAACUGGGAUUAGAUACCCCACUAUGCCUGGCCCUAAAUCUUGAUGCUCUAUAUAACCAAAGCAUCCGCCUGAGAACUACGAGCACAAACGCUUAAAACUCUAAGGACUUGGCGGUGCCCCAAACCCACCUAGAGGAGCCUGUUCUGUAAUCGAUACUCCACGAUACACCCGACCACUUCUUGCCAUGGACAGCCUACAUACCGCCGUCGCCAGCUCACCUCCUCUGAGAGCACUACAGUGAGCACAACCGCCCUAACCCCGCUAACAAGACAGGUCAAGGUAUAGCUUAUGAAGUGGAAGAAAUGGGCUACAUUUUCUAAUCUAGAAAAUCCCACGAAAAGGGGCAUGAAAUAGCCCCUAGAAGGCGGAUUUAGCAGUAAAGAGGGAUAAUAUAAGCCCCCUUUAAGCUGGCUCUGGGGCACGUACAUACCGCCCGUCACCCUCCUCAUAAGCUCUAAACUACCAAUAAAUAAUACUCCUACCUGCUAAAGAUGAGGUAAGUCGUAACAAGGUAAGCAUACUGGA
RNAcentral lists this ribosomal RNA (726 nucleotides) under Columba livia (rock pigeon). RNAcentral describes it as "partial 12S ribosomal RNA". It matches the Rfam family "Bacterial small subunit ribosomal RNA", at positions 495 to 1509 of the family's 1533-position model. Lineage: Eukaryota; Metazoa; Chordata; Aves; Columbiformes; Columbidae. The record is from RNAcentral.